This 441-nucleotide ribosomal RNA is filed under the name uncultured bacterium. Its description in RNAcentral is "partial 16S ribosomal RNA". It matches the Rfam family "Bacterial small subunit ribosomal RNA", at positions 338 to 795 of the family's 1533-position model. The record is from RNAcentral.
CCUACGGGAGGCAGCAGUGGGGAAUAUUGCACAAUGGGGGGAACCCUGAUGCCUCUCCGCCUCUUUCUCGCGGCCUUCUUUCUUUCUGUCCCGCUCUCUCCGCCGGGCCGCAAAAAGACGGUACCUGACUAAGAAGCCCCGGCUAACUACGUGCCAGCAGCCGCGGUAAUACGUAGGGGGCAAGCGUUAUCCGGAUUUACUGGGUGUAAAGGGACCGUAGACGGCAAGGCAAGCCAGAAGGGAAAGGGCAGGGCUCACCCCUGUCCAUGCUUUUGGCACUGUGGUGCUAGAGUGCAGGAGAGGUAAGUGGAAUUCCGAGUGUAGCGGUGAAAUGCGUAGAUAUUAGGAGGAACACCAGUGGCGAAGGCGGCUUACUGGACUGUAACUGACGUUGAGGCUCGAAAGCGUGGGGAGCAAACAGGAUUAGAUACCCCUGUAGUC